GAUGAACGCUGGCAGAAUGCCUAAUACAUGCAAGUCUUUGGCACAGCCGUGCUUCCUCCGCCUAUGCAAGGAGCGCCGGAUGGGUAAGCAAAACGUAGUUACCCUACCUAUAAGGCUGACAGAACGGAAGGAAACCGAAGAUCAUGUCAAAUGAUGCGGUGACCCGCACAGUCCAAUAAAAAGAGAUGCUCUAGGAGAGGCUUGCAUCCGGAUAGGCUCUUGGUGGGGUAACGGCCCACCAAGGGGCUGAUAGGUACCCGGCCUGAGAGGGGUGACGGCCACAAGGGGACUGAGAUACGGCCCUGAGUCCUACGGGAGGCAGCAGUGGGGAAGAUUGGACAAUGGGGGCAAACCUGAUCCAGCAAUUGUGUGUGAACGAUGAAGGUUUUCGGAUUGUAAAGUGCUUUCAGCAGGGAAGAAAAAAUGACGGUACCUGCAGAAGAAGCGACGGCUAAAUACGUG
This 462-nucleotide ribosomal RNA is filed under the name uncultured bacterium. RNAcentral's name for it is "partial 16S ribosomal RNA". It matches the Rfam family "Bacterial small subunit ribosomal RNA", at positions 28 to 507 of the family's 1533-position model. The record is from RNAcentral.